CCCUUAGAUGUCCUGGGCUGCACGCGCGCUACACUGAUGUGUCCAGUAAGCACCUAACCUCUUCCGAAAGGAACGGGUAACCUUUGCAAAGCACAUCGUGAUGGGGAUAGAUUAUUGCAAUUAUUAGUCUUGAACGAGGAAUUCCUAGUAAGCACAAGUCAUCAGCUUGUGUUGAUUACGUCCCUGCCCUUUGUACACACCGCCCGUCGCUCCUACCGAUUGAAUGUUCCGGUGAGCUCUUCGGACUGCGCGGUCUGCAGUUUCUGCGUUCCGUGCGGAAAGUUGCGCAAACCUUAACAUUUAGAGGAAGGAGAAGUCGAAACA
RNAcentral lists this ribosomal RNA (324 nucleotides) under uncultured eukaryote. RNAcentral describes it as "partial 18S ribosomal RNA". It matches the Rfam family "Eukaryotic small subunit ribosomal RNA", at positions 1470 to 1796 of the family's 1831-position model. The record is from RNAcentral.